GGCAGCUGACGCUCAAGCCACUUUAGAAAAUGUGUUUUAGCUCUUUUUUUAGUUAAUUCUGUUAUUUAUUUAAAAUUGAUAACGGGUUAAAUAGUUUCCGCAUUAUCGCUCAAUGCACCCAAAAUAUUUUUCCGUCCGGCUAAAGAGAAUUCUUUAACUCUCAGGCUUCGGUUAAUUAUCGUAAUGGUCCCUUCAAAACAUAAAGUUGUUAACAAGAAAUCCAAAACCCUUUUAAAUUAAUACAAUAACUCCGGGAUUAUUGCGUAGUUGCCAAGGCGUUGACUAUGAAACGACUAAGUUCUUACUUACUACGGUCA
This is a long non-coding RNA of Zophobas morio, 317 nucleotides long. RefSeq lists it as uncharacterized. The record is from RefSeq and is a predicted model, not a curated record. The transcript has 3 exons. Lineage: Eukaryota; Metazoa; Arthropoda; Insecta; Coleoptera; Tenebrionidae.